This 228-nucleotide ribosomal RNA is filed under the name uncultured bacterium. Its description in RNAcentral is "partial 16S ribosomal RNA". It matches the Rfam family "Bacterial small subunit ribosomal RNA", at positions 103 to 334 of the family's 1533-position model. The record is from RNAcentral.
CGGGUGAGUAAUGUAUAGGAACCUGCCUAGUAGUGGGGGAUAACGUGUGGAAACGCACGCUAAUACCGCAUACGCUCUACGGAGGAAAGCGGGGGAUCUUCGGACCUCGUGCUACUAGAUGGGCCUAUAUCAGAUUAGCUAGUUGGUAAGGUAAUGGCUUACCAAGGCGACGAUCUGUAGCUGGUUUGAGAGAAUGAUCAGCCACACUGGGACUGAGACACGGCCCAG